CACCUUGAGAAUGCCUGAUCUUGAAGCCGAGCAGGUUCAGGCCUGGUUAGUACUUUGAUGGGAGACACUGGGAAUUCCAGGUGCUGAAGUGG
Molecule: ribosomal RNA, 92 nt
Filed under: Periophthalmus magnuspinnatus
Lineage: Eukaryota; Metazoa; Chordata; Actinopteri; Gobiiformes; Gobiidae
Source: RNAcentral